This is a long non-coding RNA of Chiroxiphia lanceolata (lance-tailed manakin), 505 nucleotides long. RefSeq lists it as uncharacterized. The record is from RefSeq and is a predicted model, not a curated record. The transcript has 3 exons. NCBI's taxonomy places the organism in Eukaryota, Metazoa, Chordata, Aves, Passeriformes, Pipridae.
GUUGGAUUUGUCUUUCUGUACUGUACUUGCAAAAUAAUUGGAUUCAGACGCCUAUAUCUGUGACAGUUGGGUAAAACACAGAUGGCUAAACAUUUCUGUCAAUAGAGAACAGGUAAGGAUAAUGAAACAAGAUUUCCAUGCAGUAAGUGUGCUGAAAUAACCAGAAAAUUCCAAAAACUGGAAAAAAAGGAUCAUUCCCAAAAAGUGCCCCAGCAUCACAGUAACUCACGCUCAGACUCGAAGUGCAGGGAGACACACACUUACUCUGAAGCACGAGUCUGCCUGGGAGGAUCCAUCCCAACCUUCGGCACAGGUGGCCACAGGGACCUGUCCUGGAGGAGCAGUAGGUGGCACUCCCACUGCCCACUGUUUACAAAGAUAAUUUGAUGUCUUCUCACAGCUAACAACAUCCCAUAAUCCAGCUGCAGUUCCCAUGGCAACACACCCUUGCUCUUUUCCUUUGUGAUAUGGAAACAAAAUGAGUAAACCCAAGCCUUAAAAGAUU